CAAAAAAAAAAAGAGAAAAAGAAAAAGGCAAUUGACUCUUUAAAAUGAAAAUAAUGCAUUGCUGCGUUUAUCAUUAAAUUAUUUGGUAAUAUCGCAAAGGACAGAAAGGGGUAAAUAGAAGUAUACUGUUGUAAGAUUGUAUUGUAGGUGCAAUGGCAUAGUAUUAAUUCAGUUAAUAUAGAUUGCGACCCAUAGAACCGUAAGUGAGUUAAAAUGCAGUAAUUUUUUUUAAAUGGCUAACCCAUAACGCAGGAAAGGAGGAAACAAAAAAAUGGGUACAACAAAUAGAAUAAAAUAGCAAAGUGAUUACAUAAAUUCAACCAAAUUAGUAAUUAAUGUUAAAUGUAAGUUCACUAAACAUUCCAACUAAAACUCAGAUGUUAAUCAGUUUUUAAUGAAGAUUAUCUGCUGCCUUGAAAAUAUGUAUUUUAUAUAUAAAGACAUGGAUAGAGUACAUGUAAAAUGAUAGAGAAAAAAGAUCCUAUGUAAACAGUAAUAAGAAACUGGAGUGGCUGUAUUAACAUCAGACAAAAUGAUGCCAAGACAAGGAGUAUUACCAGAUGUAGUAGUUGGGGUCCAGUUAGGAGACAAAAACCACCAUUUAAACAAGGAAAUUUUAAUGUAAGAAAUGAUUAGAAUAAUGGCAAAUUGACUAGUGAAAGUUAAGAUAAUUUUAACAAAUAAAAGACUAGCAGGUAUCAGGAGCAACCGUUAUGGCUAAGACUGAGAUAGAGCUCCCAAUAUAGAGCUUUCCCCCUACUAGGGCUGAAAUCCAGAUGUCUUUGGAAAGGGCACACCUUUGAUUCACUGGAUAGUGGAGAAGUCACUAAGGUGCCUCGUAAGUGGGAGCAUAAGUGGGAGUUGCUAGAAGUUUCUGGGGUGCCAGGGGGGCCAUCCACAGAAAAGUGGAGUCUUAAAUCAUCAGAGUGAACUCCCUGAGUGUCAGAGGGAGCUGGUGGUGGCUGGGCACUGCUGGAACCGAAAUCUGGAGAAGCAGCCCUCUAGGAGCCCAGCAUGCCUGCAGGACGGCCCUGGGAUUCUAGGACUGAAAAGAUGUGGGGAGCAGUGACUUGGUUUGGUGUGCAGGCCCAUACCAUCUGGGAAAUCCCGGAUAAUCUCCAGCUGAACACUUGAGAAAAUUGCAGCCUGCAGCAUGGGAGAAACCACACAGGGAAUAAGCAUGCAGGGGAGGGUGGAGUGUGCCCUACAACAGCCUAGAGAGUGAAUCAUACCAGAACCAGGAAAGGAAAAUCCCUUCCUCCUCCAGCGUCCUCCAGAACCCUCUACUGACAAGGUUUAACACUCGGCUAGCUAGCAAAGGAGAAAUAUUUCCAAAAUCCAUCUUCAUUUAUUACAAAGUAGGCCAAAAUAUGGUGAAUUUGGAGCUAAGAGGAAAUACAUCAAUAAACAGCAUAGUCUGCCCCUUUGAGUACUCACUGUCCAUAUAUACCUUCUACGCACACUUGAAUGCCAUACAAUAAUAACUCUACAUUUCACCUAACAGGAUACUCAUCAUCUCCAAAAUGAGGAGAUGCAACAAUCAUUGCAUACAGUGCUGUGGCUAUAUUAAUUGCCCUUUAGAAUCAUCACAGUUCCACUGGAUAGUCUGUUGCCCAAAGACUAAUUGUGAAUUUAACCUCUAGCAACUUGCAUAUAAAAUUUUUGUUAAUAGAAGGGAGCAAGAAGAGGAAAAUGUGAGCAUAUAUACAUAAGUACAUACACAUGAAAAGCAAAAAAGGAAAUAUUCAAAAUGACUACAGCCCUUUUUUCUGCAGUUGGUCACAAGGCCCUAAUUUUUACUUAUGGCUUCCUUCUUCUACUGUUCAUUGAUUUCGCCCACCUCCAGCCAGAACCUGGUAGAGUAAUUCAAACUCUCAUUCCUGAAAGUUCCAAGUCCUCAAUUAUCCUGCCUUUUAUUUUGGUUUCUGUACUUUUCUACUACACUUUUCUAUUGCAUAUGGAGUACUAAUAUACACCCCAAACUGUCUCCUGGGUUACAGACAUAGUCUUCCUUGCCCCUAAUGUAUAAAGGCAACCCAGUUUCCUCUUGGCAAUAGGGAUCAGUCACUCCACCUAGUAGAGCAAUCCACCUUUCUGCCUGUUGAUUCAGUAGCAUGAGGAGUCCAGAAUAGCCAAAUGGAAAUCUUUCUCCAAUUCAGUGGAACCAUUGUGUCUCAUGGUGGAAACCAUGUUCCCUUUAAGAACUCAGAUCUCUGAAAUGGCAGAGCUCAAAGAUGCCAGAAGCAGCAGCAAAUAUUCUGCAAGUGUGUUAUUAGGUGUUGCUACGGUCUGAAUGUUGGUGACCUCCCAAAAUUUAUAUGUUGAAAUCUAAUCACAAACGUAAUAGUAUUAAGAAAUGGGGCCUUUAGGAAGUGAUUAAGUCAUGAGAGUGGAACCCUCAUAAAUGAGAUUAGUGCCUUGGUAAAAGAGGUGCAAGGGAACUGUUCACCCCUUCCUCCAGGUGAAGAGCCACAAGAAGAUGCCAUAUUGGAAGCAGAAAGCAAGCCCUCGCCAGGCACUGAAUCUGCUUGAUCUGGGACUUCCCAGCAUCUAGAACUAGAAACAGAACCAAUGGGAUGUACAUAAAGAGAUUUAUUGUAAGAAAUCGGCACAUGUGAUUAUGGAGGCUGACAAAUCCCAAGAUCUGCAGGGGGAGGUGGCAAGCUGGAGACUCAGGGGAGCAUGUCUUGAACCAGAGCCAAUGUGGGUUUCCACAGACCACGGGGCAAGACACGUUGACUUUACCUCCACUCAUAUCUGCUGUACAGAAAACCCAACAUGAUUAAUCUAGCCUACAAUUUGACAGAGACAGAAUUGAAUAUAAGCAGUUAUUCCUCAGGUGCCCCCAGUGAUUACCUGCUCUUCCAACAGAACAGAAAAGGUCUUAACGACCACGGGAUAAAGACACCAUUCUGUGUUUCAAGGCUGGAGUUAUCCAGGAAUAAAGCUAUAUCUUCAAGCACUGUUGGUUUAAAAUCUAAAUCUAAUAUUUAGCUUUAUGUAAAGGAAUUCGGACAUAGCAAUCUAAGUUUCUCCGUGCAUACCCUUUAAAGUAAUCAUGUAGAUAUCUACAUUUUCUGGAACAUGGACAGUCUGGUUGCAGACAAUGGUCUUCAUUCUCACAGUAGACACAGCGAAAAGAUGGUUUUUUACUCUUUAGAUUCAUCUUCAAAGGAAGAAAUCUCCUAGUACCAAAAACGUAAAAUUGUUUUCAGCUUCCUGUUACUUCUCAUUUUUGUUUCUAUAAAACAGUGAAGGGAUUAUUACAUAGGGGACUUUUUUGUUUUUUACAUUUACACAUG
RNAcentral lists this long non-coding RNA (3302 nucleotides) under Homo sapiens (human). RNAcentral's name for it is "HSALNT0345403". The record is from RNAcentral. Lineage: Eukaryota; Metazoa; Chordata; Mammalia; Primates; Hominidae.